UACGUAGGGGACAAGCGUUGUCCGGAUUUACUGGGCGUAAAGGGCACGCAGGCGGUUUUUUAAGUCAGAUGUGAAAGGUACCGGCUCAACCGGUGACAUGCAUUUGAAACUGAUGGGCUGGAGUUCUGGAGAGGGUGGCGGAAUUCCCGGUGUAGGAGUGAAAUCCGUAGAUAUCGGGAGGAACACCAGUGGCGAAGGCGGCUUGCUGGACAAAUACUGACGCUGAGACGCGAAAGCGUGGGGAGCAAACAGG
Molecule: ribosomal RNA, 253 nt
Filed under: uncultured bacterium
Lineage: Bacteria
Description: partial 16S ribosomal RNA
Rfam family: Bacterial small subunit ribosomal RNA
Source: RNAcentral